CCUACGGGGGGCUGCAGUGGGGAAUAUUGCACAAUGGGCGAAAGCCUGAUGCAGCAACGCCGCGUGAGCGAUGAAGGUCUUCGGGUCGUAAAGCUCUGUCCUAAGGGAAGAAUACUGACGGUACCUUAGGAGGAAGCCCCGGCUAACUACGUGCCAGCAGCCGCGGUAAUACGUAUGGGGCGAGCGUUAUCCGGAAUCACUGGGCGUCAAGGGUGCGUAGGCGGCCCUGCAAGUCAGGAGUUAAAUCCCUCGGCUCAACCGAGGUAAGCCUUUGAAACUGUAGGGCUUGAGUGCAGGAGAGGAGAGUGGAAUCCCCAGUGUAGCGGUGAAAUGCGUAGAUAUUGGGAGGAACACCAGUUGCGAAGGCGGCUCUCUGGACUGUAACUGACGCUGAGGCACGAAAGCGUGGGGAGCGAACAGGAUUAGAUACCCUAGUAGUC
This 440-nucleotide ribosomal RNA is filed under the name uncultured bacterium. RNAcentral's name for it is "bacterial SSU rRNA". It matches the Rfam family "Bacterial small subunit ribosomal RNA", at positions 338 to 795 of the family's 1533-position model. The record is from RNAcentral.